GAUGAAGAACGCAGCGAAAUGCGAUAAGUAAUGUGAAUUGCAGAAUUCAGUGAAUCAUCGAAUCUUUGAACGCACAUUGCGCCCGCCAGUAUUCUGGCGGGCAUGCCUGUUCGAGCGUCAUUUCAACCAUCAAGCCCCCGGCUUGUGUUGGGGACCUGCGGCUGCCGCAGGCCCUGAAAACCAGUGGCGGGCUCGCUGUCACACCGAGCGUAGUAGAUUUUCAUCUCGCUCAGGGCGUGCUGCGGGUUCCGGCCGUAAAAAGCCUCAUUUACCCAAGGUUGACCUCGGAUCAGGUAGGAAGACCCGCUGAACUUAAGCAUAUCAAUAAGCGGAGGA
Molecule: unclassified non-coding RNA, 336 nt
Filed under: soil metagenome
Description: partial contains 5.8S ribosomal RNA, internal transcribed spacer 2, and large subunit ribosomal RNA
Rfam family: 5.8S ribosomal RNA (bases 1-120)
Source: RNAcentral